AUUUUACUUCAAUAAAUUUUCUCUAUUGUUAAACGAAAUCUAUUUAUUAAUUCAAGCAAAUUUCUCGAUUGACAAGUUAUGACGUAUCGUGAUAUGUAUAAUAGCGGGGGAUUAUGGAACAAAAAAUAAAUUCACUUGGUUUCAGACUGGGUAAAACCCAAGGUCAUGAUCAUUCCCUUUGGUUUUCACAACCCAAAAAUUAUUUGUAUACAUCUUAAUUGUACGCUAAAAAUUUUGUAUUUUAUUGGGUAUUCAUUCAUUAUUUUAAUAUCAAUUUAUAUGUAAACAAGUUUAUAUUUCUCUUUUGUUUUGUAUUCAACCUAAUUAUAUACCAACAUAUUUUGUA
Solanum pennellii is the source of this 346-nucleotide long non-coding RNA. RefSeq lists it as uncharacterized. The transcript has 2 exons. The record is from RefSeq and is a predicted model, not a curated record. NCBI's taxonomy places the organism in Eukaryota, Viridiplantae, Streptophyta, Magnoliopsida, Solanales, Solanaceae.